GUGUCAGCCGCCGCGGUAAGACAGAGGGUGCGAACGUUGCUCGGAAUGACUGGGCGUAAAGCGCGUGUAGGCGGCCGUGCACGUCGGGUGUGAAACCCCGGGGCUCAACCCCGGGCGUGCAUUCGAUACGACGCGGCUGGAGGCCUGUAGAGGAGAGCGGAAUUCCCGGUGUAGAGGUGAAAUUCGUAGAUAUCGGGAGGAACACCAGUGGCGAAGGCGGCUCUCUGGCCAGGUACUGACGCUGAGACGCGAAAGCGUGGGUAGCAAACAGGAUUAGAUACCCCCGUAGUCC
RNAcentral lists this ribosomal RNA (292 nucleotides) under uncultured bacterium. Its description in RNAcentral is "partial 16S ribosomal RNA". It matches the Rfam family "Bacterial small subunit ribosomal RNA", at positions 505 to 796 of the family's 1533-position model. The record is from RNAcentral.